GCUGGGCACAGUGUUGCAUGCCUGUAAUCCCAGCGGCUGGGAAGGCUGAGGCAGGAGGAUCAGGAGUUCAAAGUAAGGCGCCAAGCAACUCAGUGAGACCCUGUCUCUA
Molecule: small RNA, 109 nt
Filed under: Marmota monax (woodchuck)
Lineage: Eukaryota; Metazoa; Chordata; Mammalia; Rodentia; Sciuridae
Source: RNAcentral